UGGGGAAUCUUCCGCAAUGGGCGCAAGCCUGACGGAGCAACGCCGCGUGGGUGAGGAAGGCCUUCGGGUUGUAAAGCCCUGUCUUAUGGGAAGAAGAAAGUGACGGUACCAUAGGAGGAAGCCACGGCUAACUACGUGCCAGCAGCCGCGGUAAUACGUAGGUGGCAAGCGUUGUCCGGAAUUACUGGGCGUAAAGGGCGAGUAGGCGGUUACUUAAGUCAGGUGUGAAAACUGCGGGCUCAACCCGGAGAUUGCACCUGAUACUGGGUGACUUGAGUGGAGGAGAGGGCAGUGGAAUUCCUAGUGUAGCGGUGAAAUGCGUAGAUAUUAGGAGGAACACCAGUGGCGAAGGCGGCUGUCUGGACUGUAACUGACGCUGAGGCGCGAAAGCGUGGGGAGCAAACAGG
RNAcentral lists this ribosomal RNA (407 nucleotides) under uncultured bacterium. RNAcentral describes it as "bacterial SSU rRNA". It matches the Rfam family "Bacterial small subunit ribosomal RNA", at positions 355 to 776 of the family's 1533-position model. The record is from RNAcentral.